AAGCCAGGAGUAAUAAGGUCAACGAUGCCCAUCAGAGAGGGCCACUGCAGCCAUCAGUAUUUGUUAUCAAAGAGCCUAUCAACAUCUGGUGGGUGGAUUCUCUGUUUGUAAAUGAUGGGUGCUGAUGAGUUCCUUUCCACAUCUCAAGGUGAACCUCCAUGCCGGAAGCUGGAGAGCCACGGGCAACAUCCAGGACAUGGGUUGUGCUGGGAGGACAUGUGUGAUGACUAUUAUCUGAAAUUUCAGUGGUUUUACUGGAAGGUACCUAAGGAAUAGCCAUAAUAUGUUCUCCAGUGAUUCCUAAACGACCUUUUAAGAUUCAAAACAUGAGAUGUCAGGAUGAAGCAUAAGUUAAACGCAAAGUUAACAGAACUGGAAUCUUUGAAGUUAUACUAGCUAGAUUAAUUUGACUUGCCGGAGUUUACAGAAAGUGAAUGCAGCAAAGUAAACACACUAGUUAUGCACCUUCACCAGAGUCUCCAGUUAAACAUUGUCAUCAUAAAGAAAAAGUAGCACACAUGUUUUCGAAAACGAUGUUUCACAGACCUAUUGGAAUCAACUCGAUAUUCCAUGAUUGACUAAAUUGAAAUAGCUCAAGGUAAACAGUAAACUAAACUUAUAUGAUAUACCUAUCAAACAUGAGUGAAAAAGACAAACUAGGCAGACCACAUCAAUUAAACAUGGAAGGCAGCACUAGAGGUUGCAUGUAGAAACUUCAAGUAUCAAAGGCUAUUCAUCUCGUGAAAGAAAUUAUUCAAUAUUCAAAUGAGAAUGACUGGUGUAAGACAUUAACAUAGAAAAUGACUAUAUCAACAAAACCAAGUGUGACAUCGACGAAGAAAAUGACUAUACAACCAAAUCAAGUUGCCACCAAAUCAAGUGAAACAAUGCUCCUGGAAUUACCUCGGUACAGGUGAAAACAAACUGCAAGCACAUAAGAUACGAUCGAAUAUGUUCAUUCCAGCGAAUAAACUUUGGACCACAUGCAGCAGGUACUACCACGUACAGAGCAAUGGUUUAUGAUGAAUCUAGAGAUCUUGAGAAACAGCAUACCAAAGAAAAUAACUCAUACAGACCACUUAACCAUCCUCUGGAUGCAAUUAGCAAGUUCCCAAAAGAGAAACCACACUGAGAAAGAUAUUCAUCCAGACAAAGCAAUAUGUUCAUCCUUCUUUCCUCUGGCUUAGAUUACUCCUAAUGGUUACAAGCAACAUGAGAGUUGCUUCAGUAAAUUUUACAUCUACCCAACCACUAAUCUAUAAGAAUAUAAAGGAUAUGUGCAAAUGGGCAUAAAAGCGUGCAAGGGAUCUAUCCAUCUUACCAAACUCGGGCAUAACUAAUACAUGUCCUUACCUCUAAUCACUGGAAUCCACGAUAUGAAGAAUCUAAGAUCCAAUUUCCAUAUAUAUAAUCAAAUGUAGUAUGAUUGCACCCACAGAAGAUAAUUUAAACGACACAAAAUAUAGUGUAAAAAGCCUAUUUUAAACUCAAUUUUCAACAGUCUACACAUUAUCUUGGUUUUCUGUUUCCUUAAGCAGGUUCUAUCACUCUGCUAGUGAACAAGACCAACCGUAGACAUUUGCAGAUGAACAAAGCAAUAAAUUUUAAGAAUGAAUUUCCAUGUCUUCAUCUGACCAAACAUUGUUUUUGUAACAACAAAUACAGAGCUUGCCCAACCUCAAUUGACAGCUUUGUUUCUCAUAUCUAAACUAUUGAAUUUCAACGGCAAUUAUUUAUUCUCAAAUACCUCCAAUAGACAUUCAGUUAUACAAGUAAAAGUGAGAAGAAAAUGAUCAAUUGUGUGACAAAGAUAACUGGAAAAAAAAAAAAGAUUCUCCUUGUUUAAAACAUCAGGAAAAUGAAGACGUUACUACUUAGUUGGAGAACUAACAGGAAGACGAGUUGUGACUGGAAUGUUUGAUCCAGCAUCAGAAUUAAAAAGCCUAGCAAGACGCAAUUCAAUUAUCUUCAUCUCCUCUUGUGCUGCUAUUUCAAGUUCGACAAUGGGCCUAUUCAGGUAGCGUUUCUAUAGCAAGGUAAAAUCAGUAGGUUAACAAUAGAUACACUCAGAAAUUGUCAAAGAAGAGAAUGCAACAUUAGCUGCACCUAAAUUGAUAAUAAAUUCAGAAAUCAAAUAUAAUUAGCGUUGACAUGCUCAUGUCAUAGUAAGGUUAUUCACAUCAAUAGUGACCCAUUUCCAAAAUGGGGACAAAUUUAAAUAAAAUAACAUCACAAUAUAAGUAGCCCAAAUUAUCAAGGAUUUGAAGGACUAGAUGCAUAAGAGGAAUGAACAACUGUACAUGCCACAAUGGUUAACAGAUAAAAACAACGAAUAGAUAAUCAUGUCAAAUGAACUGAAUGAGAACCAAUGCACCAAAUAUCAAGUAGACAAACCACUUCUUCACAGGCAACCUACAAAUGAUUCCACCAGAUUGAGAUGCCUUUUCUUUCUUCUAAAGCAACCACAUGAGGAACAUUUUCAUAUAAAGUUUUGGAAAAAAUUUGUAAAGAGUGAAAUUUAGCUGAUUCAAAGUUAAUAAAAUAUGGAGAAGUUGCAUCAUAUGCAGAAGAGAGAAGCACAAAUUAACAAAAGAACUAAUAUUUACUGACCAGGUACAGAGAAUAUGAUAAGAGCAUAAGAAUCAGAUCCUUAUAAUUAAAAAAAAACAUAUUUUAACCAAAGAAGUUUCUUUAGCAUCUAGGACCCUCAAAGAGCUUCCUGCUUCCAUUAUGUGGACUUCUACAGUUAUCAACAUAGGUUUUAAGGCAAUGCCAUAGGAGGAAAAUGAAAGCUUGGAUUUGCCCAACAAAGAGUUCUUGAAUCUUCUAUGAAAAUUUGUUCCAAGAGUGUUUCAUAUCAUCCAUCUUUAUUCCUUCUCUAGAUCCUUGAACCAUCUUUAUCGAGUGNNNNNNNNNNNNNNNNNNNNAAGAGUGUUUCAUAUCAUCCAUCUUUAUUCCUUCUCUAGAUCCUUGAACCAUCUUUAUCGAGUGCCAAAACAUUCAAGAACACUAUAUCAAAGUAACACUUCUAAACAUGUAACUCAGCAUCUUUCCAAUUUCCAUUAUAUCAAUAGAUGUAGAAAUACAACGUCAACCUAUUUUCUUGUUAUUGAUCCCCUUUUUUCUUACUCUUUCUACAGUUAGGGCUUAAGGGUGUCCCUCUUUUGGGAUUAAAAACACAAAAUAUGAAUCUAUAAAGCAUAAAAAACUUCAAUUUUUCAGAUGUCUUUGGAUGCAGCUAAAUUCAGGAUAAAGAUCCAUCCUUGCAUGCGCAUAAAAAACCACAGGAACACACAGCACAGGAUAAAAGAGCCUCUUGGCAGAGGUAGUAGACACAACAUUGAUGAGUAGUUCUAUGUAGUGGUAAGACCUAACAAGAUUCCAAUGAAAAGAUAGUUUUAAGUAGCAAUAGUAUCUUCCAUCUUACCAUCAUUAAAACUGUUAUUUGUUAAAAGUAAUUGGAAAGCAUGAUUCAGCAAAACGGUAGUUUGUUCAGAAAAAUGGGACCUUUAAUUCAGCAAGGAUCUCCGUCGUGCCCCUCCCAGAUGCGCAUAUGAGGAACACGAACCCAAACUUCUCCCUGUACCGAAAAUUCCAUUCCACCAAUUCCUUCCAUUUAAAAAAAACAAAGGAGAAGUUAAUAACUGUCGACGUAAUUAAAAGAAGAUAUUUCAGUAAAACAAUUAAUGACACGUCGGAGGAUCACUUGCAAGGCGGAAUCGUUUGGGAGACGGAAGGAGAGGCGGCUCCGAUCGCCGGGUGAGCCGCGAAAGCCUCGGGUCAUCCGACGGCGUCGACGUACAAGAUUCAUUAGAAAUCAAGAGGGAGAUGGAAUCACAACAGGCUAGAGAGAAGAACGGGAAGAGGAACUAGGAAUACGGCAACGGGGAGACCUUGUCGAACCAGAUGUCGCAGGCAGAUCGGAGGGCGUGGUCGAGAUUGGUGAAGGGGGAGGCCGAGACGAUCUCCUUGGCGAACCUUUUGCUGCCGCAGCAGCGCAGCACGUCCUCCUCCACGCACGAAAGAGCCGUCAUCUUUCUCUUCUCCCAUCUCUUCCUCCCCUCUCUUCGUUCCUCUCCUCUCUUCCUUCCAACACUGCCAACUCCUCUUCUCUGGCCACGUGAACAUGAUGAUGAUGCUUAUUAUUAUUAUUUUAUUUUCUGAUAUUGUCAGGGUUUUCUUUUUUUACUGUGUGAUUUUGUUGAAUAAGUUAUUUUUUUACUUUAGUAUUUAAAAAAAAUAAGUUACUUUUUAUUUUUUUAUUAUUAAUUUUUUAAGGUGCAUGUUGAAUAUAGUUUGGGAGUGCAUGCAAAAAGGAUGUUUAAAUCAAAUCAAAAAAUUAAUUGAAAUCAAAUCAGAAUCAAAUAGAUCUAAAAUGAAAUGGUUUGAUCUAGAUCUGUUUAUUAAUAAUUUAAUUUUAAAGACUAUAAAUUAUUCUGGUUUAAGAAAAUAUUCUUCUUCGAUCUGAUUAAUCGAAUUAGUCUUAAUUUAAAAAUAUUAAUUUGAUCAAAUUUAUUAUCUUAAGCUCUUAAUCGAUUCAAUCUAAUUAAUCAAACCAAUCUAAAUGCCUGAUUCAAUAUCAUUGUCAAUGUCACAAUUUCACAAAUGUCAAUUGUCACAACUUAUGGAAUUGAACUAAGAUAGAUCAUUAUUAGCGAUCGAUUAAGGACUAAUAGAGAUUGAGAAUAAAUAUAUAAUCUCAAUAACUAGUCUUUAUCAUCCCAACAAGUUCUUCUACAUUUAUAUACGAGAGUAAAAGGUGUUCGUUGGUAAUUAAGAGAAUCCUAUUAUAAGUAUAUUUUCUUACUGUUGAUCGAUAAUUAUAAUUAAAAAUCAAUCAUAUCUAUAAUAUAUCUUAUCUAAUUAAAGAAGAUUACAUAAUCUAAUAUUUUUUUAAUUGACCUAUUAAAUACUAAAAUUUAAAAAAAUUAAAAUCAAAAUAAAUAAAUAAAAAGUUAUUUAAAAAAAAAUUUAUUUAAUUAGAUUUUAAAAAUUAAAAAAAAUAUUUUAUACGUGCAUAUGAAUUUUAUAAAACGAACUAAUAAAUCCAAUAAAUCUAACUACCGAGUCAUAACAAAUAUACGUCAUCAAUAUAAUACUUCCUUUUAUAUAUCACAACAGCAUUAAUCCUUCCUAAUAUAGUUCAAAAUGAUCCAUAUGGAUCAUAUAAUUUAUCUUGUCAAGAUAAUAUAUAAUAUAAAUAUAUAUAUUAAAUUUUAAUAUGAUAACAAAAAUAAAUAAAUUUAAUUACGUAAACAAAAAUAUCAAUUAUGAUAUCUACUCAGACAUACAUCACUAUAUCUUUUAUAUGUUGUUGACAAAUCCAAUAAUAAAAACAUAUUCUUUUAAACACUUUAAAUUAUAAAUCAUAAAUGAAUAGAUUAACAAUCAAUAUAAUGAAGCUCAAGUUCUUAAUUGAUAUUAAUUAUUUCUAUAUUCUUUCUCUAAUCAUCAAGUAUUUUAUAUCAUAAUGCAUAAAACUGUUAAAGUACUUAUCAUUCAAACUUUAUUUAUCGAUUAGAUAAUUUACCAAUACAUGGACCAAAAUCAACAAUGGUAUAUUGUAUAUAACAGUUACAUUAUUUAGUACAAGACAUGUACCUCUGUAUCGGAUAAAAGACCCAAUAUCAUACGAUACACCUGACAUUUUAUACAUUAUAUAUAUAUAUAUAUAUAUAUAUAUAUAUAUAUAUAUAUAUAUAUUUUUUAAACAAUAUGUGUCAAUGUAAUGACACAAUAUAGAUAAUAUAGAUUAGCACAGACCAAUACAAUACCAGCCUGAACUCUAAUUAUGAACCUCAAAGUAAAACUAUCUUAGACUCAUUAGGAAGAGCUUUUGCAAAGUAAAGCUAGCAUUCUCAAAACCUCCUUUUAUUCAUCAAUAUUCCUAGGAAGACCAAUCUAUUUAAACAUUCUAUAUAUCUGAUAACUUUGAUUUGUUGUGAGAGAGUCAAUAGGGAGAAGCUUCCUCGGACCUACCUUUCAAAUCUUUGACACAAAUUUGACAUCUAAGCUGCAUCUUGAUGGGAGUUUUAGGUCCUCCCAGUUUGGAUCGUCGACCUCAGCAAAAUACUGAUCAAGCACUUUGGAAUCUACCAGAUCCAAUCUAGAAGGCUCCCACUGCAAAUAACAAUUACAAGAAAUUUGUCGUCAGGUGUUUCACGGAACCUUAAGUUUUGUUAAAGAUCGGUAAAGAACCAGACCUUCGGAUUCCUAUCUUUAUCCACCAAUAUAGCCCUGCAACCCUGCAGAAGAAUUAAGGGUUUUAGAUGACAGAAAAGGAAGCAUGUCAAAGUGCUUCUUGUGAGGUACCUCUGAGAAAUCCUUGCUGGCUUCAAAACGUAAUAUAUGGCAACACAAUCUGAAAUCCUUCAUAAGACAUCGAUCAACUCCUUGCAGUCUCCCUUCUCUGAUCUAGAUCCUCGCAUUAAGUAGUAGUUCAACACACAGUCAGCAACAUGCACCAUCAUGCUCAGACACUGAUAUAUAAAAAGCUUGAUCCAGAUUAAUAUCAUGUUAAACAAAAACUGAAUCAAAUAAGUUUGAUUAGGCUUAAAUUUGUGGGUCUUUCAAAGAUAAUGUCCAUCUAUCACCAAUCAAGCAAGUGCAAGACCACUUAAUAUUAUUUCCCAAGGUGAAAGAAAACCCCCCUCAUCAACCACUAUGAUCCUACAGAUGUAGUAAAAGCAAAACAAUGAAAUAGCAACCAAAGUUGAAAAAUGUGACACUGACAUAAAACAUCUGAGAAAUUCAUACAGGCAUGCAUCCAAACGAGGCAAAAAGACGAAAUUGAGAUAUGAAAAUCACAAAAGUUGGUGAUAACAAUAAUAAUGAUGAUGAUAAAAAUAAUAGAAAUAGUAAACUAAUAAUGACCACAAAAAGUACACCAAUAUAGCACUUGUUCUGGAAUACAGUGACAGGAUAAAAAUUGGAAGUUAAUAGGAAUGCUUAGUGGUCAGUCAGGAUGCAGAAGAGUAAUCUUAUUGUAACAUGACAACAAGGCUUGUCAUCUUCAGUCAAUGUUGUAGUGAUAUAAUGAUAAUUUGCGGUGUCAAUAUGAACACAAAUACAUAUCCAACACGGCUUGUGAAUGGCAACACAAGAUUCCAUGUAACAGUUUUAAGCAGGGUCUGCAGUACCGAACUGUACCGCCUGGUAUGGGCGGUACGUACCGGUCCGACAGGUUGCUGGUACGCAGACCGCCUGUUAUCAGUGCUACAGUACUCGGCACACCUGAGUGUACCGCUCGGUACACCUGGGUGUACCGCUCUAUCACGGACUUAGCUGGUUUUGCCUAAGUCGUGCGGUACCCUUGCGUGUCCGUCCGCAAAGGUCAGCCUCCCCGAAGCCUCCCAUUGUCCCUUAGGACCAACAAAAGAGAGAACGGGUUAGAGAGAACGCCUCAAUCGGGAUCCACAAGCAAACAUCUCCGAAAAACACUUCAUAGACAAUGCAAAUUACAAACAGACUUUACAAGCUCUGAACAGUUGCACAACAAAGGGUAAAAUAUAAAAUAGUCCAUUACAGACCGAAAAUCUCUCGAACGUGUCCACAUGACACAACCUUUAUUUACAAGCCUAAAGAGGCCACCAACCCAACUAAAAUGGGACUAUUAAGUCUUCGGCCGUCCCUCUACAUGUUGUACAAGGCAUGAACAUACCAAAAGACACGGACAUACAUAAGCAUUACAUCAAACAUCCUGUUUAGAAGUUUGUCCGUGACAUUCUCCCCCACUUAUUCCUUCGACGUCCUCGUUGAAGCCUUUGUCGACACUGCAACUCCUCGCCUUUGCUGAGUCUUCAAUCUUCUGCUCCAGCUACAAUGCGCCUCUUGGCUCCCAGCUGCUCCCCGCUACUGUUUUUGAGUAGUCGAACCUUUUGAUCCGCCAUGCUGCUUCAACUCACCAAUGACUCUGACUCUAGUGUGGGGUUGGCUGAGUUGUGUUGAUCCUUGUUGAUUCCAGCGGAUCCCCCAGAUGAAGGAAAAGACCAUCCUUACUGCGUCAGUCUCUCAAAUGUCUCAUGCUGCUUGAACUGGAUGGAUGCUUGUUGGAGCUUUAACGAGCAUCGUCUCGCAAACUUCUGAAGUUUUGGGUCCUUCCUCCACCAAAUUUACUCAUUGACUCUUCUUUCACUUAGUUGUCACAUCCAAGUAGGUUCGCAUCACUUCCGCUUUCGAUUUGAAUUUCGUUGGGAAAUGAAGCGGACAAUCUACUCUCAGUAACACUGAUCACCAUUGGUGAGGAUUUGACAACUAUUGUCUUUCAUUAUCUUCGAAGGGUCUUUGAACAUAUACAGAGCUCCUCUGUUGGAUAGAUAAGAGAAUUGGGGUACUCAGUUUCGCCCAUUCUCUUAAGAGUUGAGAAGGCAAAGGUUACUUGACUUCGCCCGCCUCCUCGAGGUUGUACUUCAUGCAUCGAGCUAGUUACUAGCCUUCGCCUGCUCUUUGCUCACACUUCUGAAGCACUUGAAGUGUUUGCACUCCUUGCGUUGAGUUAGUUACUGUGAUUCACCUUCUCAAUGCCAUCGAACUUCUGGAAUGCAGGAAGUUUUCACCCCAACUUGGAGUAAUUCUCUCAUAGGUUUGGUCGCCUCUAGGAUUGUACUGUCUUCUCCAUGAACCCUACCGCCUACUCCACUGAGUAACAAAGGUACAGCACCGCGUACUGCCUGCUUCGUUCCUUGGUUAUGCACUCUUGCAUGACCUGAAGUCCUUCACUUUCGGCUAUCUUGAUGAGAAGCUCAUUGACACCGGUCUUACGAAGUUCCUCGGCCUCUGCCCUUCAGCCUUGUCUCGGUACUUGGAGAUUGCCUCUGCAUGCUCCACCUCUUCGGCCCCUUUCACGACCAAGCGCUCUCCCUCCAUGAGAGCAAGGGAUCAAUGACUUUCACGGAAGUCCCACCUCUGCGGUACCAUGGCGCUGCCAUGCCCAUGGCCCUACUAUCCGUCGCCUCGCAUCUGCAUCCUUUUUCUUCACAAUCAGUAGAUAUGCCUCUGUGGCACUCCUCCGAGUCCACCUUCGUUCUAACCGGUGCUUGAUUUUGGGUAGCUAAGUCCCUCUGGACUCGUCGUUGCUUCCUCGCCCCUUUCGACCCCCUGCUUCAACACCUCUGUGUUCUCCAAGCAGUCCGUUUGGUAGAUGGGAAGACAGAUUGCAACUCCCAUGCAUGGCCUCUGCCAUCACGUUGUAGGGUUUGCACCGAUUAUGUUCUCCUUAGCUUCCUUGGCAGCAACGUUCGCUUACUCGACCUUGUCCUAUGAUUUAUCGGGCUCCCUUAAGCGAAUAUGAGCUCUGGAGCAGUCCAACUCUCCAGCUGCUUCGAUCAUACCUCUGCAUGAUCAAGUCCCUCCCAUGGAACUCACUGGUACUUGCAUUCGAACUUUUCCCUUGGUGGAACCCAGCCCCCAUAUGCUGAUGACCAAGGUUUUCAUCCGAUGCAAAAUUCGAUGCACGCACGGAAGACCUCUGCAGUACCAUGGCCUUCACUCCUUGAAUCCAUAGCCCUUCUUGUCGUUGUGUUGUUCACUGAAGUGGAGCUUCCAGUAGCUCCCGAUCAUACCUUCGUAUGAUCUAGUCCCUCACAGGACUAUGUCGUGUGUAUCGCAUUGCCACGAACUGUUCCACCACGAUCCGCUGCACCAUGUCGCCUCCUGGUGACAUCUCCAUUGCAUUCUGAUCCUUGUGGAAUAAACUCGAAUUGUGAACCCUCCAUGUGUGUCCUCUGCCAAUACAUCGCACGGUCUCUUCCACCUUCGAUUUUGUUCGCUCCUUUGGCAAUCGACCUUCAUCCACCCACUCUUGGGUCNNNNNNNNNNNNNNNNNNNNGUCGCCUAGUAGCUCCCGAAGUCCACCGACUUCACUGUAAUUUGUGCACCAUUGUCUGGGUCCUGGGUCUCUGCCCCUACCAGCACAAUCUCCGCUGCGCACUGCUUCCUUCAUGACAACUUGAAUGGCAACACUGUGGCAUAUUCUUCAAGAGUACCCACCUUUGAGUCCUCUUGCCCCGUGCUAAGGCCUUCUGAACCCAAUUUCGCCUUCGCAAAUUGAGUCGCCUUAGUUCCUCCAUCAAAUGCUUCUCCGAGAUAAGGUGCAUGUGCCCAGAAGCUCCCUUCGUCUUCGACACCAUGCAAGAUGAGUCUGCUCCGUCAGAAUGAAGGACCCAUGGAACAACAUGAUCCUACUCUUGCCUCUGCAAGAGUUCAUGUCCUUGACCUCUAUCUAAGGAAAGCACUGUGCCUCUGCUCCAUGUUCCAACUUCUAUGCUGGCUCCCUUCAUGCGGCUUGGGUACUUCGCCAAGUUACACCCAAGUUACUCCGCUCCUCGUUUUUGCAUUGAGUCGAUGGUGGCCCUCGCGCCCACCAUUCCACGGGUCAGCCCUCCCUUGAGCCCGAUCUCCAUAUCAACUCCAAGUAUGCCUUCAUUUGAGUUGCUUUGGGUUGCUCCCCCACUUGAUCUCGCAAUGCAUCCACCAAUGCAUUCUCUCGAGCGAGAUCAUGCAACGACUCCUCGCUGCUUGCUCAGUCCAUUGAGCUUCGUGGAGUUGUUUGUUGAGGUACUCCUCCUCAACUUGUGAGGUAUGUCCCACAUGAUUCUCCCUCUGGAGAGCCGGGACUUAUCCCUCCUGGAUAACUGUCCCAUUGGAGCAACAUCUCUCUUCGUUUCGGAGACCACCAUCCCCUUGGACUACUCCGAUCUGCUGAACAAACUGUGCAUUGUUCUGCCUCCUGCAAACGCACUUGCUAGAUUGCGACUUCACGUCAAUACAGCCCCUGCUGCACCACUCAAGGCCUAGCAACAUGCUGAACUCGUUGCAUACUUCAGCUUCCUACGGACGUAUCUUUCACAUGCCGAAGAGAAAGUUUCAAUGCUCCAUGGCGCCGAGUUUCGGUCGCCAUGGGAUGGCCACGAACAUUCCAUCGUCCGUAUACAAGCCCAUGCGUGAGUACCAAAUUCUUCGAGUUAGCAAUUCCCCUCACCUCUGUGAGCUUUGCAUAACUCUUUUGGUCGUUGAGCAACUCAUUCCACCUUGCAUGGUCUCAUCCUUUACCAAGCGUCUCGCUUGUCUUGAGCACCAUCAAGUAUAGUUGUCAACGUUGAGCCAUAGCUCAAACUCAGCCAUCCCAACCUUUGUGUGCUCUGUAUUCUUCCAAGCUUGCCUGUUCUCGUGGUGCCUCUUGCGCGAAGGGUUGGCCAUUCCUCCGAAUGCCAAUGUCAGAUGCCCGCUCCUCCGAGCGACUCCUUUUCCCUACAUCUCCAUGCCCAUUUUCCCCCAAACGGUCACGCGUGUGCUGACUGCCCUCAAUGCAGCCCCGCUAGGUCCCCCACAUUUGCAUGCUAAGUGUUUCUAUGAGUGCUUGUCCCGCUUUGAUACCAUCUGUCACGGACUUAGCUGGUUUUGCCUAAGUCGUGCGGCACCCUUGCGUGUCCGUCCGCAAAGGUCAACCUCCCCGAAGCCUCCCAUUGUCCCUUAGGACCAACAAAAGAGAGAACGGGUUAGAGAGAACGCCUCAAUCGGGAUCCACAAGCAAACAUCUCCGAAAAACACUUCAUAGACAAUGCAAAUUACAAACAGACUUUACAAGCUCUGAACAGUUGCACAACAAAGGGUAAAAUGGUCCAUUACAGACCGAAAAUCUCUCGCACGUGUCCACAUGACACAACCUUUAUUUACAAGCCUAAAGAGGCCACCAACGCAACUAAAAUGGGACUAUUAAGCCUUCGGCCGUUCCUCUACAUGCUAUACAAGGCAUGAACAUACCAAAAGACACGGACAUACAUAAGCAUUACAUCAAACAUCCUGUUUAGAAGUUUGUCCGUGACAACUCGGUAUACCGUACCGUACCGGUACCGAGCCCAGGUCGAAAUACCGGUACAGUACGGUAUUGCGAACCUUGGUUUUAAGUGAUUAUAUGCUAUGUUAAUUUCAACUUCUACAGACCUAUUCCAUGAAUAAUUUAAAACCAAAGAGAGGUGACACUUAAACACGCAUCAAAACUUAGUCGUCCUCAUUGAGUGCAACCUCCUUUAUAGAACUUAAAACAAAGGAUAGAAGCAAACGAUAAGCUUUUUUAAUGAAAAAAAUGCAAACAACAUUAAUUUUAAUGUAGAAAACUUAAUAUAUUUUAAACAUAGAUCACAGCAUUCAGCCUUUGCCACAUAUUAGAAAAUUAAUUUGUUGUAUAUGUAUGACUAUGACCAGCAUAAUAAUAACAAAGUUUAACAAAACACAUUUAUACAUGAAAUAUUGAAGACAUCACAUGAAACUAUAUGUCAACACAAGUCAUGCCGAGGGAAAGGGGAGACCAAUUUAGCAACUUGCAGAUACAGGAAUUUCACUCUUGAUACACAUCCAUCCAUUAAUAGGCAUGAAGCUUAAUAACAUAAUCAAAUACUGGUUUCAGGAUAAUGAAUGUUUAUGCGUGUUGACAGAAGAGGGCUCACAGAAACAUGAAAGAUAUAAUUACUGGGUCAAAACAAGAGUGCACAAAGCCCCAUACCGAUCUAAGAGUGAUUUUCAGACUGAUAGGAGAUGCCUUUUUCAAUUCCUGGAUUGCAACCACAAUCCACUCAUCGGCCAUGCUAGCAGAUUCUUUUUCCUGAAACAAUUAGAGCAAGUUUGACCAGGUGUGAACUCGGUGAUAAUGCACCAUCGAUGAACUUUAGAAAGAAGAAAUUAAAGAACACGGUUACCUAAAGGAAAAUAAGUAACUGAUGUUUAUAAUAUGUUCAUGGAAAGAUGUCACUCGACUUACAAGAGCAGAUAUAAUAUCUUCAACUGUUUCUUUGGAGAAGCACUUGUCAAUUAUAUCCAAUCUACAAGGACAACAGAAGAUUUAAUAAUGAAUAGAUCAAAACAUAGAAAAUCAUAGAAGCAAUUAAGAUGAAUAGAUUAAGCAAAGUUCCACCAAAAAAAGCUUCUACGUGAUUGAUGGCAGGUCUGAUAAUCCAUUCCAACAGAGAUUACUUGGAUCCUGCUACAUUUAUAUGAAUAAUUUGUACUAUUUUCUUCCUACAGAAGUGCAAAAAAGAAUUGUUCCCAAAGACGAAUCAGGUCAACCUGAUCCAACAUAGACCAGACAAGUUUAGUUCAAUCGAUCAACACAUUGGUCUGAUCAGAUGAAUGAAGUCUUGAUUCCCAUUGGUUUUGGUUCAAGCAUAAUGUCUCAUAAUGCUGAGGCAGCCAAAUGCUAACCAACACAUUUAUUUAGGGUAAGGUUCAGGUUAGCCCUAUAUGACCUUACAAGCUGGCAACUAAUACUACUACUAAUGCAGAUGUUUGGUAACCUUUGUUGCUUUUUCUGCUUAACGAUGCACAAAUCAUGGAUGUCUUAAAAAGAAUCAUAUAAGUGUUUUUUUAAUUCUCAUUAUCAAAAGAAGUCUGAACUUCAAAGAUCAUAUUUAUAAAUAUUUCAAAUUUGGUUUAUUAAAGUUGGAUAAUCAUCAAAUUUCUCAAAGUUGGAUCAAAAUAUCACGACUGUAGAUAAUUGUUAAAGAGACAAAAAGUAUAAUGAAUAAUAGAUUUGACGUAGAAAGAAAAAUUUUAACGCUUAUACAAAAACAUAUCUGGAUCACCAAUUAGGCAUGAGAAAAUUUAGCAUGCGAAUGACAUGAAUUUAGCAUGAGAAAAAUUGAUGUUUUUGAACACAAAAAAGCAUUAAAAAAAAAGGUUGUAUCAAUAAAGUGAUCUGUUCACCUAUAUAAGCUUACUCUUAUUAAGGACAAUAUAUUAAUCGAAUUUCUCAAAAACUUACUUCAUAAACUUAAAGAUGUCAAUAUGCUAUUCAGGACAAAAUGAAUAACACUUACACAUGUUAUGUUUCAUUAUCAUUUCUGAGUAGUCCCCUUUCACUAGACACUGCCACAUUAUGACCAUGUAUAUCUGACCUCUAAAGACUAUGGAGUCCCCACUGACAUGCCCCUUACUGAUGUAGUUACAAAUUAGAUCAAGGUUUCGCCUUUUCUCAUACAAAGCCUACUUGGUUUUCAAUCCACAUGUAGUUUCUCCAAGCUCACCAGGAAAAAAGAAACUUAGUCCUUCCACUUAAGAUAACUUUUAUUAAAACGAAAAAAAAGAAGGCUGCCAUGCUAAAAAUCAGCACUUUACUACAAGGCUAGCUUAGAUGUAAAAAAGAAGUUUCUUAAACAGAUGCAAUAAAAAGAAAAAAAACAUUUUACUGAUAGGCUGCAAAAGAUUUUUUUUACUAUAAACCAGAUUUGCUUUCUCUGAAAUUUACUUCUCAAUGCCUAAUACAAUCUGUUAUUGCCUACAACAACAAAGCCGUAAUCUGUUGUUGCCUGGACAAUAAAAAAUAAAUAGGAGAAAGAUCUGAAGACAAAGAAGGAAAGAAUAUCGUGAAAUAACAAUCCCUAAUAACUCAAUGAAAAAAGAUCCAAGAACUUACAAAUCUCUGAGAAUUUUGCAGCAUAUGCAAAGCUUCAUAAACAAAUCCAACAAUUGUUUCAGACUCCAACAGAUCCAUGAAACAAAAUAGAACACAAAACGGCUGACAACACUGUGAGCUGGGAAAAUAUCACAUCAUAUCAAACUAGAUUUGCAUACUUUUUAAGUGAUUGAGAUUGUUUCAAGAAAGCUGACUGUAGGUGAAUUACAUAUGUUUCAAUAACAUGUAUACAUGCCAGAUACCCUUAACAUAAAUGCACAUGCGCACCCAUAAAUCACUGUGGUGGGGCAACAAAAACAGAUGAACAAACCAGCAAAUAUGAAACAUGUGGAAGAGGAGAGGGGGGAGUAAUGGAUCAUUAAGUUACCUAUUAUAAGCACUACUCACUUUCAGAGGCACCAUUUUUGAGAAUUGAUCAAUUAUUGCGCAGAUUACAAAGGGAUCAGAAGUUUCCACCUUAGUGAGUAAAUCUUCCAGGUAUGUCAAAUUCUGUUAGCUAACAAAACAAGAAUUAGAAAUACGUUUCUCACCAUAAUCAAGACUUCUAAAAACCCUCCAUACUAGAGAUCAAUACAAUCUGAGACUUCAGAAAGACAACUUAAAGAACAUUAUGCAAACUUGGUAACAUAGAUGGAAAUAAGUAACCAAAGUUAUGAGGCCCUACAAGGCAAGAGUAAAAAGGAGCAACCGAGCAAGCCAGGAACAUUAUGAGAUCAAUAUGUCAAUUGAGGAACAAAAGAACACUAAAAAGAACAGUAACUUAUGAAAAUCAUACCAUAGAAGGGACAAAGUGAGUUGCUAGGCCACAUGCAAGCAUUUCAGCCCCAUCUAACCUUGCACCGGUCAAGCCAACAUAUUCCCCUGAGAAUAAAAUUAAUCAUUGAUUAUAUGCAUAUAGAUUGAAAUCUUGAACCAGCUUUGAAAUAUCAAAAUAACCAGAUAUAUAAAAAAUUUCCUAAAAACCAAAGAAGUCAUUUAUUGCAAUAGAAAGAGAGAGAGAGAGAGAGAGAGAGAGAGAGAGAGAGAGAGAGAGAGAGAGGUUGAAGGUCACACCACUGUCUCAGGGGGAGACAAGCCACCUUCACACUUAAUCAUAAUGUCACUCAUGUCACCAUAUUCUUAAAAUCUAAUCUUGCCCUCCUUGAAACUAGUAAUGCCAAAACUGUCCAUUCUACUACUUAAGCAUCUAUUUCAAGAGAAAGGCCAUCCUGGAAUCAUGGACAUAGAUGGAAUCCCCUAUUGCAUCUUUUCAGACUUGGCAGCAGGACUAAUAUCUGCCACAAUGAUGCAAAAAGAGAACACAGUUAAAAACAUUCGGAGUCUUGAAAGGCAACCUUCAAGUGGAGAUUUUAAACUCGAGGCCACUGAACUUAUGCCUUCUCAUCAGAUACUGGAGUCUUCUCAUCAUGCAUUAUGUCUGACUAUCUAACCACCCUAGUAAAUUCAUUUAGAGAAAUGUUAUUGGACUGUCAGUGUAUGCCUUCUUUAUGCUAAAAAUGAACCGCCACGACCAUUCUCAGUGAACUUUGUCAUUGGCACGAUGGAUCUUUUAAGGAAAUGAGCAUACAAGAGAUUUAAAGGCAUCAGAUAACCAUCCAGUGCGGUGAGUUCGAGUGCACAAGAAGGCCCAAGUAUUCUCUCUAGUUGAUUCAGUGAGACAACCAAAUACAACAUCAGGAAACAGUAAAGAGAUGAAUAGAACUGCCUUUAGAAACUUUCAUGACCAGUCAUGAUCCAAAAUGGAACAGCAUAUCAACUCUCAAGUGAUCUUCACUGAAUCACAAACAAUGCCACCAAAGAGUGUUUUUGUUGGCAAAACAAAGUGGAACAGUAAACUUGUGCACACACAAAGAGAAUUGUUUGAGAACCUUCAGCAAAAUUAACAAAAAAUUUACUAGGUUCAAAAGCAUGUCAAGUUAACAAAGAACAAAAGCGUAACUGCAGAAGCUCCUAAAUGACCAUGUGAAUAUAAUAGGAUAAUCUUAGCAAAUAUAUUUUUAUUAUAGCAAGUCUUAUGGAGUUCACAGCACUCUUUUAUGAGAUGUCAAAGCUACAAAUAUUGUAGCAAGUUUUUGAAUUACAACAUGAGAAUUCAGGUUUUCCUGAUUGUGAAUAAGCUCUUCCAAAUAAUUAAAACAACAAAUCAGAACGGACAAACAUAUUCUACAUUUUGAAGGGACAAGUUUCAGUCUUCUUACUGCAGAAAUUAAAUUAAACCAAUAAGAAAUGUCUAAACAUUCUUUCAAUUCAACAAUUUCAGCUAAAGACUAAAUUAGCAUCUUGAAAAAGAUAAUCUAGCAAUCUUUCCAAACAUUUGAGGAAGUGUAGAAUGAAAAGGGGAAAAGGAGAUCAAUUAAAGUUUUUAUUUAGUUACACAAAACAUAAUGAUAACAAUAACCAAAAUGUUCAAGUCUUUAUAAGUCUUAUUUUUAUUUCUUACUAAACAGAUUAUAUUCCUUUUCCUUAUCAGAACUUGAUAGCUAUCACGACAAAUUUUGAAGAAGUUGUAAAUGAUUUGAACUUUCAGUCAGUCAUAUACUCAAUUGGUUGAUCCAGCGGCAGACAUCCCUCUUCCUACUUGUCAGAGGCAGAGUUUUGAGUUUUUAUCUGUUGAGAGUACAUCAUGUGAACAACAGAAAUAUAAUUAAAAUUAGUUCAAUGCCAUGAUGACAGCAAAACCUCCAAAGAUAUAUCUGGCUAGAUCCUACUAACUCAGUUGACUGCCUUUUCUACUUGUAAUUGUCUGAAAAAGUUUAAUGAUGAAAAUAUCAGGUUCUACUUGCACUCAUAAGUAGAUUUACAUGAGUGAGAGCAGGUGGAAAGAAUUGAAUAAAGAAAGCACAAUGUUUCGUUUUGCCCUAAAAUUAAAAUGCAUUCUUUGAUACUUCCAAAAAGCAUAAUGUGCUGUCAUACCAAAAGAAUACAAUGUAUUGUUUGAUACUUCCAGUUUACCAAACAACAAACAAUUGCCACAUAUGCAUAUAAUAAGCACAUGCACUAAAUUAUUGUUUACUAUAUACUCAGACUCAUGCAUCAUAUGAACCAAGAUGUAAGACAAAACGAUUCCUAUUGGCCAUCUCAAUGAUCUUGAGAAUAUAAAUAAGCAAUAACAAAAGGCUGUUUACUAUAUCUUUCUUAACAGAUUUUAAAACAAAAUAGUGAAGCUAUGGACAAAAUCAAACAUUUAUAGAAAUCUGAAGUAAAAGGUGCGAUAAAGAUUUUGAUCUAGUGUUACAAUAUGAAUUAUGACAUACAUGACAAAUAAGUUAGAAUUACCAAAGAAUCCUGGAAGCCUUGAUAAAAAAUAUGAAGCGCCUAUAUCUGGGAAGAAUCCCAGUGCUGUUUCUGGCAUAGCAAAAACCUGCACCAGAAUAUAUGACUGGUACUUUAGUUGAUCCUUUGAGUAGGUAAUACAAACAAACACAGGAUUUCAUGGACAUGAUCCAUCAUGAAUUUAAAUAUGCCACAUAUCCGGUCCACGCAUGUAUCAAAGUACUUGUAUUCAUGUUUGGGAUGAUCAAAUUUAUAAUAUCAGCAAAUACAUAUAUUGAUUAUACUAUAAAUAAAAUGGCAUACAUCUUUACCAGUUUUCCUUCCAGUAACAAUUAACACAGCAGAUACGGCAAUUCACUAAUAAUGUGAAAAUAAAGUUAUCAUGGGUUAUGCAGUAGAGAAAACAAAAUAGGUUGAUGUAAAUGAAACUACAGUAAAAUGCUGACGUGAUGAAAGAAAAAGAGAGAAACCUCAAACAUGUUACAUUAUAGGAUUUGAAAAUGUAGCUUUAUCAUGUUUGCCAAGUUGGAUUAUGAGGGUCAAAAAAGUGUAUCAACAGAAUUAAGCAGAAACGCAACCACACCAAAGCACGUGUUGUGGCUCCACCCAACUUAACAUGUCAUUUGUUAAUCGAUAACAUUCCAAGUUUAGUAGUAGCCUGCUAUAUAAUUACAUAAAACUAGGGUUCAUCGUACUGAGCUGUACCGCUCAAAAUGGGUGGUACAUACCGGUCCGAUAAGGGAUCGAUGCGUGAACCGCCCUCUACCAGGUAAUACCCAUUACAUGAGCCUGUAUCGAGCGAUACAGGAUCUGUACCGAUCAGUAACGAUCGAUUUUCGACCGUCACUGAUCAAGGGCUCAGAUUAUCAUAUUUUAAACGGUCAAUUUGACUAUUUGAACCAUAAGAAAGGAUUUUUAAACCCUUUCCUCCCCCCUCUUUCAACCCAUUUCACUCUCUUAAACUCUUCAACUCACUCAAACUCUUUAUCACUCACAUCUCUUAACAAGGUACUAGUCAAGUUUAUACAUGAAAUGGGAAGGGAAAAACAGUGAAUGAUUUUGAGCAAAUGCGAUAGAGCUUACUCGACGUAAACACAGAGUGAAGCUCAUUGUAUUUACAGUCGUCAUAUUAUGGAGAAUCUUAUAGUCAACAGCAGUAUGAUGAUGGUCAUACUUCUCCGAGCAAUAGUAUGAUAAUCGAUCUUAUGAUAUGAAGCAGUAGAUCAAUGGCGAAAAUAGAAGUUCUGACAUUCUCCAUGCUCCACACGAAUACAUACCACAACCAUCCUUGCCUCAGGAGUCACCUCGGACACAUGAUUCACGAUGAUCAGACUACGACCAUCACUACAUUGUUGCACCAAUGACAUAUGGUAUAUCAGUAUACUAUGCCGUGGGAUCAAUUUCAUGAUUGGGUCUGACAAAUGUAUUAGAUUGAUAUACAGAUACAUAGGAACAAGGACCCCAAUCCACCGCCCGUGGAGUCCCGUCGUUUUUUUCGGUAAUAGAACUAGGAAUAUCCAUCGAUUAAUUACUUAAUUUGUUUAAAUCUUAAAGUUUAAGUUGUUUAAAAAUAAUCUAACAAUUCAAAUCAUUUCUUUGUAGAUAAUUCAAUAUUAACGAAAGAAAUAUCUGAAACGUACCACAAAGCUACUCCUCAAAAGCUUAAAAAGAUGUAUCAUUAUUCUUUCCUAAUUUUGAUUAUUUUUUAUAAAAUUAUACUAAAUUUAUACUUAUUUACAAUUUAAAAACCCUUAUCCAACUUUUUUUAUUUUUUAAAAAUUUUAGGAGCUAUGUUUAAUAAUAAUUUUACUAUACUGUCGAUACACCCAAGCAUACCAAUAUAUGGUACAUUGGCAUCCCUUGGUACAUAUCGUACCAAUGGUUGGUCUAUACAACGGUACAAACUAGUUUCACGAACCUUGCAUAAAACAACCAUAAAACACACAAACAGCAAAAAAAAAAAAAGUAGGCAUAAAAUGUAGUGGAUGGAGACCCGUGAAAAUUUUGCACCAAACAGAAGCAAAAACAUCGUAGAAGAACUUGUGUGUAGUUCUUUGCAACGUGGAUGACCAAGAAUCAAGUCAUGAAAUAGUCACUGUAUUUAUUUCUAGGAUAAAGAAUGUAUAUAUUGGCCCUCCCCUCAGGCCCCACACCGGGAGAGUCUCAUGUACAAGGUUCUAACUUUAUCAUCAAAUUACAUAUUACAAGUAUGAAUUGGUGCAUAAUGGAGGACAAAACCCUAAUUAUCAUUUGACAGGCUGAAAAAAAAGCCCUGAUUUAAAUGGACAAGCAAUCGGUGGAAACAAAAGUGACUUGCUAAAAGAAUAUUACAAAACAGUCAGGAUGAGAUUUCGAUUUUGGAUAUUAUCACAUUCAUAAAUAUGCACAAAAGUAUAUGACCUUGUUUCUGAUUAACCCAUUUGUAAAUUUCCUAUCUGCUACUGCCUCGGUAAAGUUAAAAAACAUAGGUUAACUGCGAAAAUUGAAUCGAACAGCAUAAUAAGCAUGAACUUAGUUAAGUAAUAGUUAACUAUUACUUUCGCUUCAAAGGCAAAUGUUCCAGUCAUGCAUUAGCUAAAGAAACAUACCGUUUUCUCUGUGACAACUCUAAAUCUACCAUGUAUUGAAAUGCCAGCCCCACCACCCAUGACAAUUCCAUCUAGAAUAGAAACCUUCAAACAUGGUAUUGUAGGUUAACAUGAUUCUAAGAAAUGCAUUAGAAAAAUGACAUUCACAAAUAAAAAAAUAAAACGUUAGAGGAUAAGUCACCUGAGGCUUGCUGUAAGUUGCAAUUAUGUAAUUUAAGGUAUAUUCAUUCCGGAAGAAUUCUGCACCCAGAGUCCAAUGACCUGACAGAAUGAUAGCAAGAAUCCCAGUUGAAAGAAAGUGGAUGAAGGGAAAAAAACAUAUUUAUGUUUCAACUUGGAACAAAGAACUUUGAAACAAGGUUCUUUUAGAACAUCAUAGCAAAUUUCCCUAGCAAGCUUGUAGUUUAUAGUUUAGACAUCAGUCAGAAUGACAGGUACAGUCACUGCACCUUCCAAACCUUCUCAUUAGACUUGGUCUCAUCCCUUGACAGGCAACACAGAUAAUUAAAUCUACCUUGAGUUACAGAUUGGACAACUGCUGCAACAUCCCCUCCAGCAGAAAAUGCUCUUCCAUUUCCCUGAAAGCUAUAACCCAUUAAAAUAUUACCAAAAACUGAAUUUAGCACAUGGAUCCUAGUACCAUAAGAAUGCUACGAUAAGUGUGUUCUAGCACCCUAGUUGGCUCCACCAAGAAAAUGGAAAGGAGAGCUCAAUGCAUAUAAUUUUUUUUACAAAUUAUAACCUAGUUGUAACCAAUUUAAGAUUUUCCCAGUACCAGAAAAAAGGUAAUAAAACUGAACCCUUCUUAUUUCAAAAUCAUUGUUUGCAUCAACAUCCACACAAACACACGUACACGUGCACGCUGCACACACAUAUACACGCACCUUUAUCUCCAACUGAAAGCUCGAAAGCACUCUCAUCUAUCCCGAACAUUAGUAGAGAUUCAACACCUCAAUGUGAAACUAGCCCCAGAUAUUUGCAGGAAGCGAGAUAAAUACGAAUAUCUGACAACUCAAGAUGAGAAGUAGAAUGUGUGGAAUUACUGAAUCUCAUAGCAAGAAUUUCAUCAAUUGGUGUGGAGUCCUACAGAACACUGGAGGCACCAACCAUCAUUGUUUAUCACAUUUGUUGUUGCUUCCUUAUGACCGAAAAGCAUGCAUCAAGGAAACAUGAGCAAUCCAAAUAGCCAAAAAAACCUUAAGUGAUUGGCUAUCUGAAUUGGUCUCUAUGAAUUAUUGGAAUUCCUUCAGAUGAUAGACAUGCCAUGAAUUAGUGCUUCUAGCUCUAAUGAAGUAUUUCUCACAUGCACAAGCUAAAAAAGGCAACAUAAGUGAAGGUUGACAUUCUCUGUAAAUUAGUACUAGAUGAGUUAUUAAUUUACCUUCAUUAUCAAUAAUUUGACAUCAGAAUCCUUCUCAUAAGCAACAAAAAGCUUCAGUAGCUUCAUAAUCUGGAAAAGAAUUAUUAUACCAGAAUUAUUUCGUAAGAAUUUUCAUAUUGUGAUGAUAAAAUAAAAAAAUGUUCGAUUCAGCUUCCCACAUCAAAUAAAUAAUAGAGCUCGCAUAUAAAGGAGCCAGAUAAAUUCUCCAAACGAUUCAACUCGAAGAAAAAACAUACAAGUGGCGCAUAAGAUAAAAAUCAUGAUAUUGCAUGUAUAACAUAAGCUGCAGUCCACAACAAAACAAACAUAGGGUACCUCAAGGUCACAUACACAGUAUUAGCCAUGCUGAGGAUCCUUUUUUUACUGAAGAUACAUUAUAAAAAUGCAUUAGAAUAUUGUAAACAGAAUAACAGGAGAUGUGUGCUACAGCUCAGCAAAAUUUUAUUGGAUGAUUUUGUACUCAUCUGUCAAGCUAUUUCAGUAGUGAGUUACAAGGAUCUACGUGAUCAAAAUUACUUUAUUAAGGACCACAAAUUUCAUCAAUUACAAAAUAGUACUAAAAAUAAAAACAACAAAAUAAAAAUAUAAACCAAACUUUAUUUUCAUAUUUAUUAACUUGAAUAUGGCAACAUGCAGCUUCACAACAUAGGUAGUACAACAAAAAAUAAGACCACACAAGCCAAAUGAGAAGCAAUCGUAUGAUUGCUCUCAUAUGCAGCUCAGUGAUUUAAAAAGACGCUCGGGUGCUCGCCUAGGCACUCGGGCAAGGCGAGGCGAGGCCCGAGCGCCUCACUAAUCUCCCAGGCGGCGCGCUUCAAACAGGCGCCGCCUGGGCGCUUCGGGCGAGCGCCUGGGUUAACCAAGGCGACCGAACCAGGAUUUUAGGUCUGGUUCGGUCUCUGAUGGUUAGUUGGUUCAAUCGAACCAACUAAAAUCGAUAUAAGUGAGAACCCAACCCUAACCCUCGCCGCUGCCGCUGCCGCUCCCGAUCCCGAUCCCGAUCUCGCUGCUCGCCGUUGUCGCUGCUCGCAAACGCUGCCUCUGUCGCCGCUCGCGCCUCUUGCUGCUCGCCGCUCCUGCUCCCGCUCCCGCUGCCGCUGCUCGCCACUAUCGCUGCUCACAAACGCUGCCUCUGUCGCUGCUCGCGCCUCCUGCUGCUCGCCGUUGUCGCUGCUCACNNNNNNNNNNNNNNNNNNNNNNNNNNNNNNNNNNNNNNNNNNNNNNNNNNNNNNNNNNNNNNNNNNNNNNNNNNNNNNNNNNNNNNNNNNNNNNNNNNNNNNNNNNNNNNNNNNNNNNNNNNNNNNNNNNNNNNNNNNNNNNNGCUGCUCGCCGCUCCUGCUCUUACUGCUGCUGCUCGCCGCUGUCGCUGCUCGCAAACGCUGCCGCUGUUGCCGCUCGCACCUCCCGCUGCUCGCCGCUCCUGCUCCCGCUCCCGUUGCUUGCCGCUGUCGCCGCUGCCUCCUUACACUCCGCUGCCGCUACCGCUUCCUCUUUUCUCAGUCAGCAGGCUCAGCACCCCUUACACUUCCUUCUUCUCCUUCUGUUAACAGUAUACAGUAUACUAUUAACAGUAUACUAUAUACUAUUAAUAUUGUUAGGUUUAUUUGAAAUUAUUAAUUUUUAAUACUGUUAAUAGAUUUUCUUAAUUUAAUAGCAUAUUUUAAUUUAAAAUUUUAAAUAAUUAUAUUUAUUAAUUAUAUUAUAUAUUUUUAUAUUUUAGCGUCUCGCUUCGCUCGGGCGAGCGCCUAGCGCCUCGGGCAUUUUUGGACCUUAGCGUCUUUUAGCGCCUAGCGCUUUUUAAAUCACUGAUGCAGCUGCAUAGGCUGCUUGAAACAAUGGUUGAAAUUGAAUAGAAUUGACAUCAAAAUGUCCAUUUAAAUUCUGACAUCCAUCAUCUCAGAAGUACUUAUGAAUCAUUUUCUUGGACAAGUUGCUAGCAAUGUCCAGCUCUUAUUUUUCUUUUUGCUUAAAGUUACAUAUAGAGUUGAAUGAUCUAUUGAACUCCAAUUUCACAGUCAUCAAGUCUCUUCCAUACACUAAUAAGACACCCGUAGUAAGUCCAGUAUCAUACCUGAAUAAAAAAUUUUCCUUCUUUAUUCUAAUUUCAGCAUCCUCUAAAAAGAACACCAUUUCACUCCUAAAAUACUUUGGUAGAAAAAUUACUACUCUGAGAGGGUUGCACUGCCACUAAUAAGUCCUCAAUAACAAACAACACAUCUCACUCCAAAAAUUGAUCUUUCAGAUACUUCCAUAGGAUAAUUUGAAAGUUUUAAUAAAUCAAUCCUGCUCAUGGAAAAUUGCUUCUAUUAUGUUAGCCAAAAUAUCCCAUAAAAGUUUUGAUUUUUAAAUUCCAUUAAACCAUUUAAGAAUUCAUUCUUUCAUGUCCAUUUGGUAUAACUGGUAGCCUCAGCAGUUAUGGAGCUAAAAGCAAAGAACUUACGCAUAUGACAAACAAUAACUUAUGAGUUAAAGCAUACAUUAUUGUGUAAUUAUGUCAGGCAAAAGAUACGAAAACAUCAUAAGUAAAUCACCAGACAUAUCCAAAUUUAUACUUUUCAACAAUGAGCCAAUCACAUGUGUAUCCACUGAUGAAGAAAUUUGAUGAAUCCUUGAAGUUGCAGACAGUUAUUUCUUUAUAGAAGACAUUAAAAGAAAUGAACAUCACGAAAUACCAUUGGAGUAGACAGAGCAUUCAGCUGUCGAGGCCUGUUAAGUGUCAAUAUCCUUGUAAACCUGCAGUCUUCUACCAAAACCUAUCAAAUCCCCAAAAAUACUGUGAAAAAACAACAAUAUUUGGAGAACACUAAUAUGUAGUUGAGAAUAAUACAAAGAACACAUUUCAGAAGCAUAGUGCGAUGGACCUCAAAGGAACAAUUUCACGAUCCAGAAAAUUGAGCAAAAAACCCUAGUGCCUUGUGACAUUUGUGAAAAAUGAAAUCAAUCUAGCACUAAACCAAUGGCCAUUUAAUUAUUAAAAAAUCAAUAAAAUUAUAAAAAGGGACCGGACGGAACACCGCCUCAAAAAAGUGCCCAACAAAUAAUGAUUUACUGAGAAUCUUGUUUACGGAGGUGCCUUAAUUGUUCGUUGUGUUGUUGUCUCAUACUAUGUUUACCCCCUAAUAGGUUUAUCUUCGACUUCACCUUCACACAACAUACACCAUACUAGAGAAAGUCUUACGAGCGUGUGAUUCCAAGACCAACAAUCGUGCCUGGUUUAAUAUCAUACGGCAUUAUCUCUCAUAAGUAGACAACACACAAUUCACAAGAAGUUCUCCUCAUCGGCCACACCAAAAAGCCACUUUCUUGCAUUUUUUCUCGGACCAAGAAAGAAACUUUCAGGUGGCCAAUCAAAACCCACGUUUUAAAUUCAACGAAAAACAUAAAUACCCGGCCAGUGCUCCCUUAAAAGACUGGAAAAGAUCACCUGAUUGGUUGUGCCGUCGUUGCUAGCGUUUUGUGAGGACGAGGCCAUGACGUGUUCGAAAGCCAAAACCUUCCCUUCGCAAUCAAGAAACCGGUGAAAGAAGAGACGGAGGGGGGUGGGGGGUGGGAGGGGAGGGGAGAGAUCAAAGACAAAGAAAAUAUCUGAUAGAAAGAUACUUCCGUACCAAAUGAACCAGCGAUCAAGAAGGAUUGAGGACCGAACCAAAUCGAGGGAGAAGGGAAGGAAGAAGGGGAUGUCGUCUUUGAUACGAGUUUCUAAGAUGUCAGAUAUGCUUCCCUGCUCAUAGUGAAAUUACAAUGAUGCCGCUUGAUAUAUUGAAUUUUCUUAAAAUGUCAGGAACCGUAAAAAAACCCCUUCUUUUUAAUUAAAAUGAUGCCCCUUAAAAUAGCAAUUAUUUUUAAAAUUCAUAAACCAUUAAAAAUAAACAUAUUUUGCAAGAUUUAUGAUAAUUUUGAGUUUAAAAUUAGGUACAAAAUACAACUCCAGUAAAAUUGAUAUGAUCAUAUCUAGGAGAAACACACUGGACUUAUACUGCUGCAAUUUGAAAAAAAUUAUAUAUUGUAUUACGAGUGUAAAAUAAAAUUUUAAUAAUUCAUCGUAAGAUCAAGAUCAUGAGAUCAGUUUUAUCCUUUGCAAAAAGAAUUAGAUUUGUCAAAAUAGUCAAAAAUAAGUUAGAAACCAAAGCAAAGAGAAUUGCACACCAUGAAAGUGAGAAAGGUCGACUAGAUCCUGUCAAAGAGCACACUAGAAGGCUCAGGCACUGUCACACAAGCGGCUGUUGAACGAGAUACAGAAAAGCAUGAUCAAUAAUAUUUGUCCAAACACCAAGAUCAUAAUUUUAGACCUGUUUGAAUUGUAUACAAUCCUGGCAUACACACUUCCGAUACGACAAAGUAACAUUCAUAGGUUUCCUUGAAAAGUAUCUGUUACCCAACUAGAGUACCAUAUCUAGCUCCCCCUGUAUGUGGUGAAUGAAAAGGGUGAAUGCAGCAGAGGAACAUGAAAGUGUUCUGCUAUCUGGUUUUCUCUGACCUGAAACACCAAGCUGACAUAAGGAAAGAAGCCAGAGGGUGCAUAUUUACCGGUGUCGAAACUUAUCCGGUAAAAGCCAGGAGUUAUAUGGUCAACGAUGCCCAUCAGAGGGCCGCUGCGUCCAUCAGUAUUUGUUGUCGAAGAGCCUAUCAACAUCCAGUCGGUGGAUUCUCUGUUUGUAAAUGAUGGGUGCUGCUGAGUUCCUUUCCACAUUUCAAGGUGAACCUCCAUGCCGGAAGCUGGAGAGCCACGGGCAACAUCCAGGACAUGGGUUGUG
This 26400-nucleotide long non-coding RNA is filed under the name Musa acuminata (dwarf banana). Its description in RNAcentral is "long non-coding RNA (MACU_LNC002560)". Lineage: Eukaryota; Viridiplantae; Streptophyta; Magnoliopsida; Zingiberales; Musaceae. The record is from RNAcentral.